Molecule: long non-coding RNA, 2208 nt
Filed under: Marmota monax (woodchuck)
Lineage: Eukaryota; Metazoa; Chordata; Mammalia; Rodentia; Sciuridae
Source: RNAcentral
GUCCAGUUAUGGAGGAGAGCUCAGGGCCGCCAGCCCCCUGGAACUGAGUCCCAGAAGGGCACCUUGGGGACAUGCAUCUUGGCUGAGGGCACGGGGCAUCUGCACGUGAGGGCACCGACUUCCUUGGGCCAGUAUGAGGACACUGAUGAGCAGAGGAUCCCACAGAGCUCCCGGGAUUGCUGACCUGUCCCCCACCCUGGUCCCAGCAGCAGCCUGCACCCACAGGUCCUUCUCUGUGGCACCAGCAAACUUGGCAUCUCCUGCCCGCCCAGCAGAUGGCAGAAGGUUACUUCAUCAGGCGUCUCCCCAGCCCUCCACCUGGCGGAGGAAGGCCAACCUGGCCCACGGCCUCCCCGUCCUCCCCAGCCUGCGAUCACCCACCAGCCGUGGAAGGGGCCAGGAAGGAGUUUCCAGCUCCUGGUGGCACCAGCAGCUGGAGUAGAGUCCACGGGGUUGUCUCUGCCUACGCAGCACCUCCUGGGGACUUGACGGACAUUACGUUCCACAGGGUCCGUCAGGAGAGAACGGGCAGCUUCACUGUGUGCAGUCUACGGGGGGCUUCAUUUCUUCCACCAAGGUCUUGUAGUUUUUGGCACAUAGAACGCGUACAUGUCUGGCUAAUUUUACACCUAAGUAUUCCUUUUACUUUGUAGCAAUUAUAAGUGGCAUUGCACUUUGUUUCCAUUUGUUCGUUGUUAGUAUGUAGAAAUGCAGUGGAUUUUUAUCUAUCGAUCUUGUAUCCACGACCUUGUUAAAUUCACUAAUUAGUUUAAGGAACUUUUCUUUCUUUUCUUUUCUUUUUUCUUUCUUUCUUUCUUCUUUUUGUAGAUGCCUCAGGACAUUCUCUGCAGGUGAUUAUGUCAUCUGCAAAUAGAGACUUUUCUUUUUUCUACAUUUAUGCCUUUUUCCCCUUGCCUUAUUACACUGUCUAGAAUUUUAAGUACUAUGUUGCAUAAAAAGAAUGAAAGAGGACCUUGGUGUCAGGUUCCUGGGGUCAGGGAACGCAGGCAGCCCUUCACCACCGAGGAUGGUGUUAGCCGUAGGGUUUUGUUGGUGCUAUUUGUGAGAUCUUUGGUUUUUCUGCACCUGUUGAUGUUGGUGUAUUAUACUGAUUGCUUUUUUGGAUAUGGAGCCACCUUACAUGAAAUAAGUCCCAGCUUACAUAAGUCUUGUUAUACAUUGUUGGAGUCAAUCUGCUAGUAUAUUUGAAAAUUUCUGUGUCUAAGUUCAUGAGAGAUAUUGGCCUGUAAACCCCUCUUUGUGAGCUGUUUUUGACUGGUUUUGUUUUGUUGGGGGAACACACCUCAUAAAGCCAGCUGGGAAAGGCUCCAUCUUCAUGUUCUGGAACAGACUGAGUGAAAUUGUGCUAAUGUCCUUUUAACGGUGAGUAAAAUUCUCCAUUGAAGUCACCUGGGCCCAGAGAUUUUUUCCCCCAGAACUUGUAGUUAUUCACUUUCUUUCUUCUCAGUUGAGUUUGGUAGUUUGUGGUUUUCAAAGAGGUGCCCACUUCUUCCAAGGUGGGGUCUCUGUUAGGGUGUGCUGUUCCUUUCUGUGGCCGUGGGGUGUGCAGGGACACACCUGGUGACAAUGGAACGGUUCUUCUCUCUUCAUCUUCAUGGUCCUGUUGUUAUAUUUCACUUUCAUUUGUCUUUGUGUAUUUUACAAACGUCUUUGGGGACUUCCUCAUGGGCUCAUGGGUUAUGUAGAAUGGUUCUGUUUAUGUUCACGUUCGAGGACUUUCCUGGGGUCCUGUUAUUCACUCCUGGUCAUUUCAUCACAGGAAGAGAACAUUCAUUCUGGUUGCAACCUCGAUUCUUCUGAGUUACUAAGGUCUCCUUGGUGACCCGGGAGGUGGUCUCUCGCGGCGAGUGCUCCACGUGAACCUGGAGGGAAAGCCUGGGUACCUCAGUGUGCUCCUAGCACUUAGAUGAAGCACUGAGACCUUGAGUGAGGCCACUACCCUGCCCACUCCUAAAACAGGGUUGUCUCAAACUUGCUUUGGACACAUUGAGUUGUCCCAUAUCACUUAAGAAACCGAGGAGUAAGGAAUCACUUAUAAUAUUUACACCCUCUCUUGCCCAUCUCAAAAUUCUGUCAUUUCUGGAAUUUCAAGAACACCCAUUUCUUUCUGCCUCCAUAGUUACACUUGAAGUGAGUUCCUGAUGGACAGCAUAUAAUUUAAUUUGCUCUGCCAGUCUCUGUGUUUUG